This is a long non-coding RNA of Triticum dicoccoides, 367 nucleotides long. RefSeq lists it as uncharacterized. The record is from RefSeq and is a predicted model, not a curated record. Lineage: Eukaryota; Viridiplantae; Streptophyta; Magnoliopsida; Poales; Poaceae. The transcript is spliced from 3 exons.
UCAAUGGACCACAAAGCCAUGCAUGGCAAGACAUUAACGUGACCCAAUGGACAGUAAAGCAUGUGCGUGUGCCAAGACAAGAUGACAAUUUUUCUUGUGCACUCUACAUGCUGAAGAACAUCGAAUUCUUUAUGGGAGAAGAUCUUAGACUGCAUUAUGACCAAGCAUACAUCGACAAUUAUAGAAGAGAGCUGCCUGUUGUCCUUCUUAAUUCGACCUACAACAAAUUGAAGUCCAUGAAAAGGCUGAAGAGUACAAUGCUAGCCUAUCGGAUGCAACUGCAAUUGAAGAUCAUGAAGAUGCAAGCAUUUAAUCCAGCAAUGGUCCAUUCUUAGAUAUGGAGUGUACAUUUGGUUAUGAAGCGGUA